AGUGAACGCUGGCGGUAGGCCUAACACAUGCAAGUCGAACGACCACACAGUAAGAUCUUGCUCUUACGGGUGGCGAGUGGCGGGCGGGUGACGCAUACAUAGGCUUCUACUUUUUCGUGGGGGAUAACGUAAGGAAACUUACACUACUACAGCAUACAACCUACGGGUGAAAUCAAGAGAUCUUCGGACCUUUCCCGAUUGAUUGAGCCGAUGUCGGAUUAGCUAGUUGGCGGGGUAAAGGCCCACCAAGGCAACGAUCCGUAGCUGAUCUGAGAGGAUGAUCAGCCACACUGGAACUGAGACACGGUCCAGACUCCUACGGGAGGCAGCAGUGGGGAAUAUUGGACAAUGGGCGCAAGCCUGAUCGAGCCGUACCGCGUGGGUGAAGAAGGUCUUCGGGUUGUAAAGCCCUUUUGUUGGGAAAGAAAAGAAGUAUGUUAAUAUACGGCCGUUCUGACGGUACCUAAAGAAUAAGCACCGGCUAACUUCGUG
RNAcentral lists this ribosomal RNA (492 nucleotides) under uncultured bacterium. RNAcentral describes it as "partial 16S ribosomal RNA". It matches the Rfam family "Bacterial small subunit ribosomal RNA", at positions 29 to 507 of the family's 1533-position model. The record is from RNAcentral.